AAGGCGGAAUCUGAAAAGCCCAUAACAGAGUAAGAA
Spinacia oleracea (spinach) is the source of this 36-nucleotide non-coding RNA. NCBI's taxonomy places the organism in Eukaryota, Viridiplantae, Streptophyta, Magnoliopsida, Caryophyllales, Amaranthaceae. The record is from Rfam.